UCCUGCGUAGCUCAAUGGUAGAGUAGGUGACUGUUAAUCACUUGGUUGUAAGUUCGAGUCUUACCGCAGGAGCCA
Molecule: transfer RNA, 75 nt
Filed under: Pontiella sulfatireligans
Lineage: Bacteria; Pseudomonadati; Kiritimatiellota; Kiritimatiellia; Kiritimatiellales; Pontiellaceae
Description: tRNA-Asn(gtt)
Rfam family: tRNA
About the family: Transfer RNA (tRNA) molecules are approximately 80 nucleotides in length. Their secondary structure includes four short double-helical elements and three loops (D, anti-codon, and T loops).
Source: RNAcentral